UCCUCCCGCACCCCCGCCACCCCCUCUCCUCUUCCUCCCGCGUCCCGCAUCACCUAUCUCCCUCCAAACCCUAACCCGCCCCCGCCUCCCUUCCCCGCUGCCGGCAGCCGCCGCUGCUUGCCCUAGGGAUGAGACAGUGUAGAGCGAGCAUCGAGUCGUUCCGCUCCCCCUCCCGCCUGCUCUCCUCUCCUCCACGCCCCUGCCACGAAAACCCUAGCCACCACUACCCAUUGCGUCUGCAGGCUGUAGCCGCCGCCGCUCUCGCGACGCCGACGGUGCUCUCUCCUUCUUCUCUCUGACCCGAGCCACCGCUCUCUUCUGCACCUCCGACCUCCUCCCCAUUGGAUUGCGACCGACCCACCCUUGUGCUCGAGUCAUGGAGGGGCAGCAGAUGGUGGUGGACAAGGAGAGGCACUGCAAGGUGCCAGAUGCAUCUACGCACAUCCACCUCUCCACCAUGACGCGCAAGAGGGGGAGACAGAGGGAAAGGGAGAGGGGGAGAGCUCAGGGCCCGAGCCGACGGAGGCCGACCCGCUGCAGCCACAUCAUGUGAUGCAGAGAAAAGGAGAAGAAGGGGAUGGAUCAGCAAGGAGCAAAAGGACAAGAAGAAUAAGGGCAAGGGAGGUGGGGCGAUAUGCAUGUCCAUGGAGCGGCAGAGGGCAGCAAGUGGAGAAAGAUGAAGGCUGCACAACACCAAGGUGUCUACAUUUAAGGAUAUUGAAUACAGUAUGUGACUAUGGCAAAAGGUUUUCCUUUCUUUCAGGUUAUCCGUGGGAGCAAUGUCAAAAGGUGACUUGCUUGAACCGAGUUAGCUAUAAGACUACCUUAAUUAUACCAGCGAGGAGCAUGACGAUGCCCGAGUUCAGCCCCGUUGGAGUUGGCAUUUUCUCACGGCAAGCUGCAGAUGUUGUCCGUGUUUUGUUUCUUUUCUCCUGCAGCAAACACAGACAGGCAGUUCGCUUAAAUCCGCAAAACAGUUCCUUCAGUAGACGAUAACAAGGGAGUCAGGUAACCUAUCUUUUCUUUUAUAUACUGCAGGCAGUUCUUUAAUUUGGGGAAAUAAGAUCAAAGAAAAGAUAGGUUACCUGAUGAUAUAGUUGGAGAAAGGGGUAUGAUAUAUUGUCGAUGACGUAAACUGCAAAAGGAUGCUCUUGGUGGCAGCAUCCUGGGCUUCUGAAACAUGCUCAUUUCAGCUGAAAGAAUGUAUUGUAAUUAUUGAGAGAGAUGGAAUUGUUUGGACCCCAGCGCCACCUUCACCAAUCAACGGCAUGCGAAGACACUACCACAAGAGCGUCGUUGCUUCUAGGAUGAAGAAUGAAUGCAUGUCAUUCAGGGAUAACUGCAGGCAAUGAAAUGUUGAAGGGUCCACCACCGGGAGGAGCGAGCAGAUCGACGACAUGCCAUUCGUGCCGCCACUUUCCUGUCGAUCUUGCGCCAAGUGCCGCACUCGGCUCUCCUCCUCGGAAAUCACCAACCACAUGAGAGAUCAAGCGCGAGCUGCCGGUAAACAACACCAGAGGCACUGCCCGCAGGGACUGACGAGGGCAACAUGGCGAUACCGCCGCAAUCGCUGUCACGGAACUGCAUCAGGUCUUCAAGCAGGAUUUUGAUAUCUCACCGCCGCCUCCGUGCACUGUGUCGCUGACCUCGCCUCCUCCUAGGCCGAGAUACACCAGGUCCGCAUCCAAGCGAUUGCAAAAGACGGCGAGGUUGAGUGUCUGACAGUAGAAAUCUCAGACCUGCACAAGUCUAAGUGCCAGUCACUAGAAUUGAUGGAGCAGAGGGACAAAGAUACAAGGGAGAAGGAUGUCGUCAUUCAGAGCUAGAAUUAUAAGACGCUGAGCUCCCCUAACGCCUUUACACUUUCACAAGUAAAUAUGUAGCCGUCAGCGAACUGGUUGUAUAGUUACUUGAGAGCACAGGCUCACGUGAACAAAUUGUCACUUGGUACAAUCUGGUAUAGUGGUGUUCAGGACUCAGUAUUUUUUAGCAUCAUACAUUGGCAGUAGUGGACAACUGAUUGCUGUUAGAGGAUUUAGUUACCGAAUUUAAGUAUAGGUUUGUUCAUGUAACUUGUUCAGCUUUAGAAUAGGAUUUUGAGCCUUACAAAAGAAAAGAGUGAGAUGAUUUGGUUUGGUUUGCUUAGCACCAAUGUGGUGAAAUGUUCAUGUAGAGAUGCACACAUAACUCCAUAUUGUGGAUGCCAUUUCUUAUUUUGACCAGUAAAUUUAUUGGAAGAACUUUGAUUGACUAGAUGGUUUUUAGUUGGUUGUGCAGAUUCAUUUGUGUACAUCGAGAUCUGAGAGGAAGAUGAGGAGACAGAGGGAGAAGGGGUGGGAAGAAGAGAGGGUGAAAGUAUCUUCUUGGGACUUCCAUGGCUAGGCUUCUUAUUGCUAAUGUGAAAUUGCUAAAGUAGUUGUAUUUUGUGAUUUGUGCACACAAUACUUUCUGCAACAUAAUUUUCUUACAAGUAAUUUGAAAUGAAUCAUUUGUUGAUCUUUA
Long non-coding RNA from Triticum dicoccoides, 2502 nucleotides. RefSeq lists it as uncharacterized. The transcript has 9 exons. The record is from RefSeq and is a predicted model, not a curated record. NCBI's taxonomy places the organism in Eukaryota, Viridiplantae, Streptophyta, Magnoliopsida, Poales, Poaceae.